UACGUAGGGGGCGAGCGUUGUCCGGAGUUACUGGGCGUAAAGCGCACGCAGGCGGUUUCGUACGUCUGGAGUGACAGUUCCCGGCUCAACUGGGGAAGGUCUUUGGAAACGGCGAGACUUGAGGGCUUCAGAGGGACACGGAAUUCCGGGUGGAGUGGUGAAAUGCGUAGAGAUCCGGAGGAACACCAAUGGCGAAGGCAGUGUCCUGGGAAGCAUCUG
This 219-nucleotide ribosomal RNA is filed under the name uncultured prokaryote. RNAcentral describes it as "partial 16S ribosomal RNA". It matches the Rfam family "Bacterial small subunit ribosomal RNA", at positions 524 to 742 of the family's 1533-position model. The record is from RNAcentral.